This 468-nucleotide ribosomal RNA is filed under the name uncultured bacterium. Its description in RNAcentral is "partial 16S ribosomal RNA". It matches the Rfam family "Bacterial small subunit ribosomal RNA", at positions 28 to 507 of the family's 1533-position model. The record is from RNAcentral.
GACGAACGCUGGCGGCGUGCUUAACACAUGCAAGUCGAACGGAAAGGCCCUGCUUUUGUGGGGUGCUCGAGUGGCGAACGGGUGAGUAACACGUGAGUAACCUGCCCUUGACUUUGGGAUAACUUCAGGAAACUGGGGCUAAUACCGGAUAGGAGCUCCUGCUGCACGGUGGGGGUUGGAAAGUUUCGGCGGUUGGGGAUGGACUCGCGGCUUAUCAGCUUGUUUGUGGGGUAGUGGCUUACCAAGGCUUUGACGGGUAGCCGGCCUGAGAGGGUGACCGGCCACAUUGGGACUGAGAUACGGCGCAGACUCCUACGGGAGGCAGCAGUGGGGAAUAUUGCACAAUGGGCGGAAGCCUGAUGCAGCAACGCCGCGUGCGGGAUGACGGCCUUCGGGUUGUAAACCGCUUUCGCCUGUGACGAAGCGUGAGUGACGGUAAUGGGUAAAGAAGCACCGGCUAACUACGUG